Molecule: unclassified non-coding RNA, 328 nt
Filed under: soil metagenome
Description: partial contains 5.8S ribosomal RNA, internal transcribed spacer 2, and large subunit ribosomal RNA
Rfam family: 5.8S ribosomal RNA (bases 1-120)
Source: RNAcentral
GAUGAAGAACGCAUCGAAAUGCGAUAAGUAAUGUGAAUUGCAGAAUUCAGUGAAUCAUCGAAUCUUUGAACGCACAUUGCGCCCCCUGGUAUUCCGAGGGGCAUGCCUGUUCGAGCGUCAUUAUAACCCUUCAAGCUCAGCUUGGUGUUGGGGCCUGCUGUAACUGGUAGCCCUUAAAAUCAGUGGCAGUGCUAUUAGGCUCUAAGCGUAGUAAUUCUUCUCGCUAUAGUGUGUAGUGAGCGCUUGCCAGAACCCCAAACUUUUAUAUGAUUGACCUCGGAUCAGGUAGGGAUACCCGCUGAACUUAAGCAUAUCAAUAAGCGGAGGA